Molecule: ribosomal RNA, 324 nt
Filed under: uncultured eukaryote
Lineage: Eukaryota
Description: partial 18S ribosomal RNA
Rfam family: Eukaryotic small subunit ribosomal RNA
Source: RNAcentral
CCCUUAGAUGUUCUGGGCCGCACGCGCGCUACACUGAUGCAUUCAACGAGCCUAUCCUUGACCGACAGGUCCGGGUAAUCUUUGAAUCUGCAUCGUGACGGGGAUAGAUUAUUGCAAUUAUUAAUCUUCAACGAGGAAUGCCUAGUAGGCGCAAGUCAUCAGCUUGCGUCGAUUACGUCCCUGCCCUUUGUACACACCGCCCGUCGCUACUACCGAUUGAACGUUUUAGUGAGGUAUUUGGAUCGGCGCUCCGGAGGUUCGCGCCUCCGUUGUGCUGAAAAGACUCCCAAACUUGAGCGUUUAGAGGAAGUAAAAGUCGUAACA